RNAcentral lists this ribosomal RNA (2867 nucleotides) under coral metagenome. RNAcentral's name for it is "bacterial LSU rRNA". It matches the Rfam family "Bacterial large subunit ribosomal RNA". The record is from RNAcentral.
AUGGCUUACGGUGGAUACCUUGGCAUUCAGAAGCGAUGAAGGGCGUGACUACCGACGAAAUACUAUGGUUAGCUGGAAGUAAGCUUUGAUCCAUAGGUACCCUAAUAAGUCAACUUCUUGUACUAUUUACUGAAUUUAUAAGUAAAUGAGAGCAAACCUGGUAAAUUGAAACAUCUUAGUAACCAGAGGAAAAGAAAGCAAAAGCGAUUCCCUUAGUAGCGGCGAGCGAAAAGGGAACAGCCUAAACCACUUUAAUGAGUUCUAGUGGGGUUGUGGGACAACUAUAAUAGUAUUAAAUACUAGAUGAAAUAAUUGGAAUAUUAUAUCAAAGAAGGUGAUAAUCCUGUAAUCGAAAGUUUUUAUAGCUAAAGUUGUAUCCCAAGUAGCAUGGGGUACGUGAAAUCCCGUGUGAAUCAACGAGGACCACCUCGUAAGGCUAAAUAUUACUGGAUGACCGAUAGUGAACUAGUACCGUGAGGGAAAGGUGAAAAGAACCCCGGGAGGGGAGUGAAAUAGAACAUGAAACCGUAAGCUUACAAACAGUGGAAGAAUGACUAAACGUUUAACCACGUGCAUGUUGAAGAAUGAGCCGACGACUUGUAGGUAGUGGCAGGUUAAGAUUAGUUAAAUUGGAGCCAUAGUGAAAGCGAGCUUGAAUAGAGCGUUUGUCACUAUUUACAGACCCGAACCCGGAUGAUCUAGCCAUGGCCAGGGUGAAGCUUAGGUAACACUAAGUGGAGGUCCGAACCGACUGAUGUUGAAAAAUCAGCGGAUGAGUUGUGGUUAGUGGUGAAAUGCCAAUCGAAUCCGGAGCUAGCUGGUUCUCCCCGAAAUGCGUUUAGGCGCAGCGUUUGAUGCUUUAGCUUAGGGGUAAAGCACUGUUUCGAUGCGGGCCGUGAGAAUGGUACCAAAUCGAUGCAAACUCUGAAUACUAAGUGUGUAGUCAAUCAGUGAGACAGUGGGGGAUAAGCUUCAUUGUCAAAAGGGAAACAGCCCAGACCACCAUCUAAGGCCCCUAAAUAUAUACUAAGUGAUAAAGGAUGUGGGGAUGUAUAGACAACCAGGAGGUUUGCUUAGAAGCAGCAACCCUUUAAAGAGUGCGUAAUAGCUCACUGGUCAAGUGAUCCUGCGCCGAAAAUGAAAGGGACUAAGUAUAUUGCCGAAGAUGUGGGAUGUUUUACAUCGGUAGGGGAGCGUUCUGUAUUAGGUAGAAGCGUGAGCGAGAGCGGACGUGGACAAAUCAGAAGCGAGAAUGUCGGCUUGAGUAGCGAAAACAUUGGUGAGAAUCCAAUGCCCCGAAAACCUAAGGUUUCCUCUGGAAGGUUCGUCCGCAGAGGGUGAGUCAGGACCUAAGGCGAGGCUGAAAAGCGUAGUCGAUGGAUAACAGGUUAAUAUUCCUGUACUAUUUAUUAUUGGUAUCGAGGGACGAAAAAGGCUAAAUCAGCCGGAUGUUGGUUACCGGUUUAAACUUUUAAGGUGAUGAUAAGUGGGGAAAACAUUUUGAGCUAAAGAGUGAAUACAAGGUACUCAAGUACUAAAGUGAUUGAUGCCAUAUUUCCUAGAAAAGCUUGUAAUAUCUAGAAUAAUAAAUACCUGUACCAUAAACCGACACAGGUGGGUAAGUAGAGAAUACUAAGGGGCGCGAGAUAACUCUCUCUAAGGAACUCGGCAAAAUAGCCCCGUAACUUCGGGAGAAGGGGUACCCUAUAUAGGGUUGCAAUAACUAGGCCCAAGCGACUGUUUAUCAAAAACACAGGUCUCCGCUAAGUUGUAAGACAAUGUAUGGGGGCUGACGCCUGCCCAGUGCCGGAAGGUUAAGGAAGUUGAUAAGCCAUAGAGUGAAGUUGAUAACUGAAGCCCCGGUGAACGGCGGCCGUAACUAUAACGGUCCUAAGGUAGCGAAAUUCCUUGUCGGGUGAGUUCCGACCCGCACGAAAGGCGUAACGAUUUGGGCACUGUCUCGGAGAGAGACUCGGCGAAAUAGACUUGUCUGUGAAGAUGCGGACUACCUGCACCUGGACAGAAAGACCCUAUGAAGCUUUACUGUAACUUGAAAUUGGAUUUGAGCCUAUCUUGCGCAGAAUAGGUGGGAGGCUAGGAUUAUGUACUCUUGGGUAUGUAUGAGCCAAAAGUGAGAUACCACUCUGAAUAAGCUAGAAUUCUAACUUUGAUAGCCGUUAUCCGGCCAGAGAACAGUUUCAGGUGGGCAGUUUGACUGGGGCGGUCGCCUCCUAAAAGGUAACGGAGGCGUGCAAAGGUUCCCUCAGGCUGGUCAGAAAUCAGUCGUAGAGUGCAAAGGUAUAAGGGAGCUUGACUGCGAGACCUACAAGUCGAGCAGAGACGAAAGUCGGCCUUAGUGAUCCGGUAGUUCCAAGUGGAAGGGCUAUCGCUCAACGGAUAAAAGUUACUCUAGGGAUAACAGGCUAAUCUCCCCCAAGAGUUCACAUCGACGGGGAGGUUUGGCACCUCGAUGUCGGCUCAUCGCAUCCUGGGGCGGUAGUACGUCCCAAGGGUUGGGCUGUUCGCCCAUGAAAGCGGUACGCGAGCUGGGUUCAGAACGUCGUGAGACAGUUCGGUCCGUAUCCGGUGUAGGCGUUAGAGUAUUGAGAGGAUUUCUCCUUAGUACGAGAGGACCAGGAGAAACACACCUCUGGUGUACCAGUUAUUGUGCCAACUGUAAACGCUGGGUAGCCAAGUGUGAAGUGGAUAACCGCUGAAAGCAUCUAAGUGGGAAGCCCACCUCAAGAUGAGUACUCUCUCUGUAAUAACAGAUAAGAUCAUGGUAAGACUAACCGUUUGAUAGGCAUCAGGUGUAAGUAUAGUAAUAUGCUCAGCUGAGAUGUACUAAUAGAUCGAAUGCUUAAUUA